UAGCGGGGAAGGCAGGGCGCAAGCCGGGGGCGCAAAGCCAUGACCCCUGCGUGCAGGGGUGUCAGGCUGCCGAA
RNAcentral lists this non-coding RNA (74 nucleotides) under Elusimicrobiota bacterium. RNAcentral describes it as "Elusimicrobia bacterium c-di-GMP sequence". It matches the Rfam family "c-di-GMP-I riboswitch aptamer". From Rfam's summary of the family: GEMM was predicted in a large-scale screen for bacterial structured RNA regulatory elements. Genes associated with GEMM are involved in a diverse array of functions, including chemotaxis regulation, signal transduction, secretion and chitin. The record is from RNAcentral. Lineage: Bacteria; Pseudomonadati; Elusimicrobiota.